This 465-nucleotide ribosomal RNA is filed under the name uncultured bacterium. Its description in RNAcentral is "partial 16S ribosomal RNA". It matches the Rfam family "Bacterial small subunit ribosomal RNA", at positions 28 to 507 of the family's 1533-position model. The record is from RNAcentral.
GACGAACGCUGGCGGCGUGCUUAACACAUGCAAGUCGUACGGUAAGGCCCUUUCGGGGGUACACGAGUGGCGAACGGGUGAGUAACACGUGAGUAACCUGCCCACAACUUUGGGAUAACGUUAGGAAACUGGUGCUAAUACUGGAUAUGUGCUCCUGCUGCAUGGUGGGGGUUGGAAAGCUCCGGCGGUUGUGGAUGGACUCGCGGCCUAUCAGCUUGUUGGUGGGGUAGUGGCCUACCAAGGCGGCGACGGGUAGCCGGCCUGAGAGGGUGACCGGCCACAUUGGGACUGAGAUACGGCCCAGACUCCUACGGGAGGCAGCAGUGGGGAAUAUUGCACAAUGGGCGCAAGCCUGAUGCAGCAACGCCGCGUGCGGGAUGACGGCCUUCGGGUUGUAAACCGCUUUCAGCAGGGACGAAGCUUUUUGUGACGGUACCUGCAGAAGAAGCACCGGCUAACUACGUG